Oncorhynchus tshawytscha (Chinook salmon) is the source of this 836-nucleotide long non-coding RNA. The record is from Ensembl. NCBI's taxonomy places the organism in Eukaryota, Metazoa, Chordata, Actinopteri, Salmoniformes, Salmonidae.
CGGCAGUUGAACAUGUCACACUUCCCGCACUUACCUCAUGCUACAAUGGAAAUACUUUUCACAUGAACAUGAUACCUUCCUAUCAAAGUUAGUUGAAUGCAGGGACUGAGCGGUGCAGCACUACUUCCCAGGGAAGACGGACUCGGAGAUCAAGGGCUACAUCCGCCAGAAGCUGCAGAACGAAGCCAAGCGGCUCCGCAAGAAGCCUCACCUGGCCGUGAAGGUGGAGCCAGAGGCCGGGUCAGAGGGGGCGGAGAGUACUUUCUACAUCUAAGGGGAGUGAAGUGCUCCACCCCUGUCCAGGUUAAAGUGCAAUUAUGGGAGGGAGACUCACAUAAUAACUGCUGUGAGAGGGAACCAAAAUGGAGCAGCCUUAUCAACACCAGUCUAGUCUAUCUGUUUGUCUGUCCAUUCCCAGCCAUGUCUCUGGUCCGGGAGAGAAAUAGGCUAGUGAGGGAGGAGUCUAUUUGUCUGACAACGUGAUCAUUCCAGGGGAAGUAUUAGGGACUCCGUGUCUGAUCGAGACUAGUUACUGCUCAGGUGAAGUUAGAUGAUACUGUAGCUUAUUCUUCCUCUGCCCUCUGGCAUCGUUCUCAAGCCUCAGCUAGCCAGCCAGCAGUAGUAGGCCUAGUAGAUGGCAAGUGAUUUGUAUCCAAGUUUCGUACUCUUGUUUCUCUGAAGGAGGUGGCAGUCAGUCGGUGCUCUGCAGGGAAGUCGACAACAUAGCCGUCAGUGAAGCUGCGCUGCACUCUGUGUCACUUCAGUUUGAUUUACAGUGUUGUCAUUGACCUCGUGAAAUGAACCUAGCCUUAGUAUUGAAUCAAUUACAAUGUUGC